RNAcentral lists this long non-coding RNA (1039 nucleotides) under Sinocyclocheilus grahami. RNAcentral's name for it is "lncRNA (ENSSGRG00000029881.1)". Lineage: Eukaryota; Metazoa; Chordata; Actinopteri; Cypriniformes; Cyprinidae. The record is from RNAcentral.
GCCUGGCAUCUGCCUCCACUCACUGCCAGACUCUGGGGGCUCAGCUGGCCACAGUUGGGCAGCUCUACCUGGCCUGGCAGGGUGGCCUAGACCGCUGUGACCCCGGCUGGCUGGCCGACGGCAGCGUGCGUUAUCCCAUCAACCUGCCCCGGCGUCACUGCGGAGGGGAUGAGCCAGGAGUACGGACCGUUUACCACAACCCCAAUCGCACCGGAUUCCCAGACACUAGCGAUCUCUUUGAUGCCUACUGCUAUCAUGAGAAAAAUUUCGAAGAGCUGAUGGCGAUACUCCACAAGAUCCUAGAAAACUCCACUCUGAACUCUUCAAGCGAUGAAGAGGUGCAGCUCCAAAGAAAUGGAGCCUUCCCUGAACCUUCAACUUGGACCGGUCUGGUCAAUCUUGAGAAAGAAGACUUUGAGUCCAUCAUAAACAACGAAUCUUCAGAAAUCUCAGAGGAGCAUGUUGUAAUCCAUCUUGGACCUGAAGAAAAGUCUGUAGACUGGGAAGACGAUCCCAAAGAUGCUGUGGAGAAGCAGGAGAACCUUCAAGGGGGUUCGGCGAAAGAGGAGACCGAUGAUGGAUCUCCUGACCCAUCUUCAAUCACGCCAUCUUCCUCUACGCAAGCUCAGACCAGCAACAGCGUCAUUUCCAACUUUGUGAAAACAAUCAUGAAGCCAUUUAGGUACUGGACCGGGACUGGAGAACCUGAGAUACCGGCCACAGAGUCCAGCCUCUACCAAGGUACCUCAGAAAUGGUCCCACCUAUCAGGACGAAGCCAAGUAGCGGAAAAACAAGCAAAGGUGGUGCUGAUAACGCCAUCAUGGAGCCUAAUAUCAAGGAACAUUCAUAUAAUCCCUCCUCAUCAGAUCCAGAAGAAGAGCUCUUCGAACAGGAGAAAGAAGUUAUCUUGGUGGCUGCGCCGCAGGAGAUAAAGAGUCCAAGCAAUUCUCAUAUGGAUCAUCCAUAUUCACAGACCUUCACAGACAGCUUCACUGGACCAGCCAAAGGAGCGAUUGGAUCAGGAAUGGCAGAUCCGAC